UGGGCACUAAAGAGAGAAGUAUCUAUUAUAGUGGAUACUAAAGAGAGAGAGAAAAUUGCGGAGUGAGAACACGAAGAAGAGUUGAAAUGGUCCAAGGUUAGUCAUCCUUCCUGCACUUUGCUCCGAUUGUCCAGUUCUCUCAACUCUGCUCCGUGCCCCGAUCGUCCUAACUUCUCCAAUGAAUGGUUGACCUACAGAAAACACUCCGAGGAUUAAGUCAGAUAUGUUGGUCAAGAAGUUAUCAUAUGAGCGAUCAGUUAGCUGAAUCGACCACGCUUAUGGUGAAUUAGAGACGGUUCCGAUCGACGCUUGGUCUUCGGUUCCCCAAAUCACAGAAUUGAAGUUGUUGUUUUCUGGUAUGCCACUAAGCGGUACUGGAAUGACGUUGAGCCCAAGUUUGAUUGUGAAGGUCUAGAAGCAUUUUUACUCCAGAUUGCUGAGUGCUGAACUUGUACCAUUGGUCAUGCGAAAAUGCGAAUGCUUUGGUGCUAGGCGGUGGCAGGGCAUCGUUGCGUGCAACUUUUCACCGCAAGUCUUGAGCUAUUUAAUUUCUUUUCGUUGAGUGAAAGAUAUGUGUCGUUGAGUGUGACUUUUUGCGAGAGGAAUGGCGGUGAGUAGCAAGACUUGUUGCUGAGCGCCACCCUUUGUAAAAUGUUUGAUGUUGAG
RNAcentral lists this small RNA (666 nucleotides) under Vigna angularis var. angularis. RNAcentral's name for it is "Non-protein coding transcript". Lineage: Eukaryota; Viridiplantae; Streptophyta; Magnoliopsida; Fabales; Fabaceae. The record is from RNAcentral.